Molecule: non-coding RNA, 74 nt
Organism: Chelativorans sp. BNC1
Lineage: Bacteria; Pseudomonadati; Pseudomonadota; Alphaproteobacteria; Hyphomicrobiales; Phyllobacteriaceae
Source: Rfam
CGGAGUGUAGCGCAGCUUGGUAGCGCACCUCGUUCGGGACGAGGGGGUCGCAGGUUCAAAUCCUGCCACUCCGA